AACGCGAAGAACCUUACCCAGACUUGACAUGCACAGGACAGCUGCAGAAAUGUAGUCUCUCUUCGGAGCCUGUGCACAGGUGCUGCAUGGCUGUCGUCAGCUCGUGCCGUGAGGUGUUUGGUUAAGUCCAGCAACGAGCGCAACCCUUAUCACUAGUUGCCAACACGUAAUGGUGGGAACUCUAGUGAGACUGCCUGGGUUAACCAGGAGGAAGGUGAGGAUGACGUCAAGUCCGCAUGGCCCUUAUGUCUGGGGCUACACACGUGCUACAAUGGUCGGUACAGAAGGCAGCGAAACCGCAAGGCGAAGCAAAUCCCCAAAACCGAUCCCAGUUCAGAUUGUAGUCUGCAACUCGACUACAUGAAGACGGAAUUGCUAGUAAUGGCAGGUCAGCAACACUGCCGGAAUACGUUCCCGGGUCUGACCACCAAGG
Molecule: ribosomal RNA, 433 nt
Filed under: uncultured bacterium
Lineage: Bacteria
Description: bacterial SSU rRNA
Rfam family: Bacterial small subunit ribosomal RNA
Source: RNAcentral